GACGAACGCUGGCGGCGUGCUUAACACAUGCAAGUCGAACGCUGAAGACCUGGCUUUUGUUGGGUUGGAUGAGUGGCGAACGGGUGAGUAACACGUGAGUAACCUGCCCCCUUCUUUGGGAUAACGCCCGGAAACGGGUGCUAAUACUGGAUAUUCACUGGCCUUCGCAUGGGGGUUGGUGGAAAGGUUUGUUCUGGUGGGGGAUGGGCUCGCGGCCUAUCAGCUUGUUGGUGGGGUGAUGGCCUACCAAGGCUUUGACGGGUGGCCGGCCUGAGAGGGUGACCGGUCACAUUGGGACUGAGAUACGGACCAGACUCCUACGGGAGGCAGAGAUUGGGAAUAUUGAACAAUGGGUCAAAGUCUGAUGCAGCGGCGCCGUGUGAGGAAUGGACGCCUUUUUGUUGUAAACCUCCCUCCCUCAUGGUAAGACCCGAAUGGGUGUCUGUGGGGGGGUUGCUGGGUUAA
RNAcentral lists this ribosomal RNA (465 nucleotides) under uncultured Actinomyces sp. RNAcentral describes it as "bacterial SSU rRNA". It matches the Rfam family "Bacterial small subunit ribosomal RNA", at positions 28 to 500 of the family's 1533-position model. The record is from RNAcentral. Lineage: Bacteria; Bacillati; Actinomycetota; Actinomycetes; Actinomycetales; Actinomycetaceae.